UGACUUUCUUACACAAUGGGGAAGCACAUCAAGCACAAUGCCCAACUUUUCGUCUUACUUUCCAUGGUUCUUCUAAGUUGCCUGGUUUCUUCAGCCGUACAGGGACAAAGCAUUGCGGACAAGGGGAGCAACACGGCAGCUAUACGGCCUAACGAUGACCCUGAUUGUGAGAAAGAGAAGUUGCAGUGGCCAUGAAGAGCCCAGUACUGCUGCAACUAUUUUGCUUAUACGGGUCCAUGCUACGAUGACUAUACUGUCUGCAGAGCCCAUUGCCCGUGAUUCAACACAAUUACCAAGAAUAAUUUUCAUGUAAUAAGCAAAAGAUGAUAUGCAAUAAGCUUUCUUGUCUGUUUUUACUUUUCUGAUUGCUGAAGUGAAUAAAGAUGUGAUUUUCUAAA
Molecule: non-coding RNA, 398 nt
Organism: Aegilops tauschii subsp. strangulata
Lineage: Eukaryota; Viridiplantae; Streptophyta; Magnoliopsida; Poales; Poaceae
Source: RefSeq, a predicted model, not a curated record